Cornus florida is the source of this 2104-nucleotide RNA transcript. RefSeq lists it as uncharacterized. The transcript has 2 exons. The record is from RefSeq and is a predicted model, not a curated record. Lineage: Eukaryota; Viridiplantae; Streptophyta; Magnoliopsida; Cornales; Cornaceae.
AUCAUUCACACACUAUCAGAGAACUAUACACACACAGAAAAUCGAAUCACUGCAAGUCUAUGAAGCUCACCACUUUACAGGCAAGUACUCAUCUGUACACUCUUUGCUUUGAUUGAAAGCAUAAUAUAUACGGAGUAUAUAAUACAUCACUGUGUUUCUUCAAGAAAUGGCUAUAUAUAUCUGCAAAAGUCUCAUCUCUCUCUCUCUCAACAACUCUUCACACCUCAACAAAACUCGAAUCCCUCUUCUCUCUCUCCUCUUCUUCUCUUCGUCUCCAAAACCCCCCAGUCCGGUGGCCGAUUACUUGCUUGACAGACACAAAUUUUCUCCUGAAACUGCUUCGAAAGUCUCUUCCGUCGUGACGUAUCUGAAAAGGCCUGAAGAGACCGAUUCGAUUCUUUCAUUUCUCCAGGAAAGUGGUUUUUCGGAUUCCCAUCUCGAGCUUGUCAUCAAACGCAUGCCUCAAGUUCUCUCUGCAAAUCUUGAGCGCACCAUCAAACCCAUAUUCAAGUUUUUUCAGGACUUGGGUUUUUCUUCUACCGAUGUUGUGAAAAUUGUUUCGUCUAACCCACAGAUUCUGAUUCGUAGAGUCGGUAAUCGGCUUGGCCCGUCGAUUUUAGCAUUGAAGAGUGUUUUGGGUUCGAAUAUGCAUGAUGUGUCUAGGGCUUUAAAGGCAUCUGGGUCUGCGUGGUUAUUAAGGUAUGAUUUGGCGAAAAAUAUGAUACCCAAUAUUGAAUUUUUGAAGAGUUGUAGUAUUAGUUCAUCGCAAAUAGCUGGAUAUGUCUAUAUUUACCCAACAUUUUUCAUGCGUAAACCGACGAGAAUUAGAGAAUAUGUGAAGAGGGUUGAUGAGAUGGGUUUUGACAGGAAGUCUAAGAUGUUUCUUUCUGCGAUUCGGACUAUUAGUUCGAUGACUAAAGAGAAUUGGGAGUUGAAAUUGGAGCUCUUCAAGAGUAUGGGGUUUUCGGAAGAUGAUAUUUUGUCAGUUUUUAGGAGAUUACCUCAGGUGUUUGCUGUGUCAGAGAGGAAAAUUAAGGCAAUAACACAGUUUUUCCUUAGCACGGGCAAAUGUGAUAUCUCAUUUCUUGUUAAGAACCCAAAUUUACUUCUUCUCAGUGUUGAAAAUAGGCUUAAACCACGUCUAAGAGUUAUGGAGGUUUUGGAAAAAAGGAAUUUGCUUCUUAAAAAGCCAAGUUUUACGACUGUAUUCCAGAGGAGUGAUAAGAAGUUCUUUGAGAAAUAUGUACUCCCUUAUUCAGAUGAAGUUGGUGAAUUAUUCGUGGUUAACAAGGCCUCAUCGACAGCAGAAAUAUGCGCUUAAGAUUAUGACAACCUUUGUGACUUCACAGUUGAAUACCUAGAGGCAGGCUGAGAUUGAUUUUUUUUUUCCCUAAAAGAAAAUGACUUGGUGGCAUUGCAUGGCGGCUAAUAAACUUGACACUAGAAGAGAAGUUGAUUCAAGCAGUUCAGAUGAAAUGACAGAGGCAAGCAGUUCAAGCAUUUCUAGAAUGUGUUUUAUAAAGAUCUUCUUCUUUAUAUCUGGCACCAAAAUGGAUAAAUGGCUUUUAACAAAUUUAAAUGGAUAUAUGGCUUCUAUAAAGAUCUUCUUCCUCUAAUUUUUUAGAAGAAAAUUUAUAUGUGCGCGCGCUUGCGCGAAGGUUAAAACCUACAUUCAUACAUUCCCCUUCUUUUUCAUGCUUUUCCCUCCUUCCAAUCAGAAUAGAAUGUAGCAGUUCCAGUAAUUAGCAAUCGAAACACCAUUAAAUUCAACCCAAAAUAGUCACUGAAAUUGACAUUUCUUCAGCACAUAAAAGGACCAAGCAGACAAAAAUAGCAGUUCCAUGAUGAAGAUUAACAAAUGUGAAACAAAAGCUGUUAAUCUCUCUACAAUUCAAUUGACAGGCAAAUUCAGCAAUCACUAAUCACCCACCUGUAACCCAAAAUUUGUUGUUAUAUGCAUAAAAAGUCAUUCAUCUCUCUCUCUCUCUCUCUCUCCACACACACACACACACCCCGUGGUGUUCAACUGCUCCUGAAAAUAGUAUAUUCACUAUUAAUUGUAGCCAUAGGAUAUAAAUUAGCCUUCUUUUCCUCCUCCUCUCUC